AACGGCGAGUGAAGAGGAAAGAGCUCAAAGUUGGAACCUGUUUGGCUUAGCUAAACCGGAUUGUAAACUGUAGAAGUGUUUUCCUGACACGCCUGGUAAAAAAGUCCUUUGGAACAGGGCAUCAUAGAGGGUGAGAAUCCCGUGUUUGGCCAGAGCUGUUGUCUUUUGUGAUACAUUUUCAAAGAGUCAGGUUGUUUGGGAAUGCAGCCUAAAUUGGGUGGUAAAUCUCACCUAAAGCUAAAUAUUUGCGAGAGACCGAUAGCGAACAAGUACCGUGAGGGAAAGAUGAAAAGAACUUUGAAAAGAGAGUUAAACAGUAUGUGAAAUUGUUAAAAGGGAACCGUUUGGAGCCAGACUGGCUUGACUGUAAUCAAUCUAGGCUUCGGCCUGGAUGCACUUGCGGUUUAUGCCUGCCAACGACAAUUUUUUUUGAGGGAAAAAACUAUUAGGAAUGUGGCCCCCUUCGGGGGGUGUUAUAGCCUUUUAGAAAAUACCUUGAAUUGGAUUGAGGAACGCAGUGAAUGCCUUUAGGCAAGAUUGCUGGGUGCUUUCGUUAAUAAAUGCUAGAAUUUCUGCCUUGGGUGGUGCUAGUGUUUAAAGAUGGAACUCGCCUGGUAUAUUUUUUAUUCGCUUAGGUUGUUGGCUUAAUGACUCUAAAUGACCCGUCUUGAAACACGGACCAAGGAGUCCACCAUUAGUGCGAGUAUUUGGGUGACAAACCCAUAUGCGUAAGGAAACUGAUUGAUACGAAAUCUUUAAGAUGGCAGUAUCACCCGGCGAUGACGUUUUAUACUGAACCGACCGAGGUAAAGCACUAAUGAUGGGACCCGAAAGAUGGUGAACUAUGCCUGAAUAGGGUGAAGCCGGAGGAAACUCCGGUGGAGGCUCGUAGCGAUUUCUGACGUGCAAAUCGAUCGUCAAAUUUGGGUAAUA
RNAcentral lists this ribosomal RNA (933 nucleotides) under Pilaira anomala. RNAcentral's name for it is "LSU rRNA". It matches the Rfam family "Eukaryotic large subunit ribosomal RNA", at positions 85 to 919 of the family's 3401-position model. The record is from RNAcentral. Lineage: Eukaryota; Fungi; Mucoromycota; Mucoromycetes; Mucorales; Mucoraceae.